Molecule: long non-coding RNA, 3624 nt
Organism: Orcinus orca (killer whale)
Lineage: Eukaryota; Metazoa; Chordata; Mammalia; Artiodactyla; Delphinidae
Exons: 3
Source: RefSeq, a predicted model, not a curated record
ACGGCGCAUGAGCAUCUGAAACUCGUCUGCCGGGGCCCAGGGCUCCGCUGGGUCAUGGUGGAAGGGCCCUGAGAGGCUCAGGCCAGCAUACUCUGCACCUGUGGAUCUCCUAGCUGUCAUUAUUUUCUCUGCUGUCUGUUCUUACCUGAAACCAUCAACACAAACAGAACUUUUACUGCAAAAUAUACCACAACAUGCAAGGCAGGGGCGCCCAAGAGUCAGCUUGGGCGUUGUCUGAGGGGUUCCGGAGGCUCUCAGCUGUGCCGGGUGACCCUUUAGAUGCAGCUCAUGGAGAGGUCUGGGGGUGCUAGGGGAGGGACCAGGGAGGCCAGGGCACCAAGGGGGCCCACGGCUAAUUACCCGCCAGUCUGGAAGCUUUGCAAUGCAUAACAGUCUCUGCGGCCUUCCUGGAACGCGGUGGGGAACUUCAGCACGGAUGUUAAUCGAGCUUCUGUCCCCUUCACUCCCUGACCCCUUCCCGUCUAAGAGGUCUUCCAAGCAACUGAAUUGAUCCAGGAGCUCUGCACAGACAUAGAAGGUGCAAAUAUGAAUGAACACGCCCUCACCUGCACGCACAGGAACCUCCAUAUACCGUUAUCCUCCAUAUAACCUCCAUAUACCAUGAUCCAUAUACCGUUAUCCCAAGUGGCUGCACCCUUUUGUGUCCCAGCCAGCAGUGCACAAGGGUCACGAUUUCUCCAAAUCCUCACCAACACAAGUUAUUUUCUGGUUUGUGAUUGUGGACAUCCUAACAGCACACAGAAGAAAGAGUAGCUGCAGCGCCCAGACUCAAUUAUUGAGCACAGGUCGCAGCCCCUGUGACACCUGGCCCCUGAACACCUCAGCAGGCGUCGUUCUGAGACUUUGAACCUUGGCCUGUGGGUUCGUUCCAAACAGGGAUGCGUCUCAGGUCCCGUGGACCAGGCUGGAGCAUCACUGCCGGGUAGCACUGCUGUUCUUGACCCGGUUGGAGUUUCUGCACAAGCAGCUUCCAAUUUUCUAAUAAACUGUAAACUCUCACUGGUACCUUGCCUUGGGUGGUCCCCAACAGAUCGGAGCGGUGCAACUCAUGCUAUCACGUCCCCCCUCCCCACCCCCCAAGAAACUUCCGAAGGACUGCAUCUGGCGUUCAGCAUCUUUACGUUUGUUCUUCUUGUAAAUAUGUUCUGCAGUGAAAUGAAGGUUAGGCUUUCUGAUCACGUGAUCCUUCCCGAUCCCGCGGGCAUCCGUCCUUUCUGGAUUAGUGACAUGUAGGCAUUUCCAUGUUCUCCUGGAGCUGAAUCAUGGCAGCUGGAUUCUUGCUGUGUGUGGCUGGCCCAGCUCCCAGGGCCCGGCAUACUCCGUGGCCAAGUCUGUGAAAGCCACGCAGGAACCUGCUAAAGAUAACGAAAACCAGCAGUGGCAGUUCCGCCUUUCGGUGGAAGGGUCCUCACGGGGCUCAUCCUCAGGGUUAGGGGCAAACAAGGCGCAUUUCGUUCUCAGUAGCUGAGCCAGGGCUGCUGAAUGUUCUGUCUUUCUCAUGGGCGGUGUCCUUUGGGUUUGAGUCACGAUUAGGGAUCUGCUCAGAUGACCAGGUCUAUAGGUCUGCAGUGGUGGCUGCACAUUAGAACCACCUGGGAGCCUCUAACGAUUUCCCCAUACCUGGGCUCUAGCCCCUACCAAAGAAAUCCGAAUCUCUGGGCAUCCGUGCUUUUUACAGAAACUCCCCAGGUGACACCAGCGAGCAGACAUGCUUGAGAAUCAGCUUCUAAACUUGAAUGAACAUGCAAAUCACCAGGGCAUCCUACUAAAGAUGCAAAUUCUGAAGAGCAGGUCUGUGAGGGGCCUGAGAUCCUGCAUUUCUGACCUGCUCUCCAGUGACGCAAUUCUGCUGGUCCACACUUUGAAUAGCGAGUCUGAAACAGGGCUUGGCGAAGCGUGGCUCAGAGGCCAGAUGCUUUAUUAUUUUUUUUUUUUUUUUUGGCGGUACGCGGGCCUCUCACUGCUGUGGCCUCUCCCGUCGUGGAGCACAGGCUCCGGACACGCAGGCUCAGCGGCCAUGGCUCACGGGCCCAGCCGCUCCGUGGCAUGUGGGAUCUUCCCAGACCGGAGCACGAACCCGUGUCCCCUGCAUCGGCAGGCAGACUCUCAACCACUGCGCCACCAGGGAAGCCCCAGAUGCUUUUUAAAAAAAAUUUUUUUGGCUGCAUCAGGUCUUUGUUGUGGCACGUGGGAUCUUCCUUGCGGUCCACGGGGUUUUUUGUAAUGGCGCGCAGGCUUCUCUCUAGCUGUGGCGUGCAGGUUUUUUCUCUCUAGUUGUGGCGCGCAGGCUCCAGGGCACGUGGGCUCUGUAAUUUGCAGCACCCGGGCUCUCUCGUUGAGGCUCAUGGGCUUAGUUGCCCCACCGCAUGUGGGAUCUUAGUUCCCUGACGAGGGAUCGAACCCACGCAUCCCCUGCAUUGUGAGGCAGGUUCUUUACCACUUUACCAUCUGAGGGACCACCAGGGAAGUCCCUCAGAUGCCUAAUUUUGUAAAUAGUUUUACUGGGGCACAGCCAUGCCCAGCUGGGUAGUUAUAACAGACCGUAUUACCUGAAAGCCUAAAAUAUCUACUGGCUGGCUCUCUACAGAAAAAACAUGCCAACCCCUGGUUUAAAGCAUGCUAAUUAAUGCUGGUAUAUCUGUUAUGAACUCAAUGACCCAGGCUGUAGGUCAUGAUCGUUAUAAGAUGAUGGUGACUCAGAGGGUCUCCCUCCCUCAGAGGGGCAAGGUACAUUUUUAAGUCGCAGUAAUUAUUAGAUCGUCUGACCUCCUUUUGAACCUUUCAGAUUUGGUUUACAAUUGUGGAAGUGAAAAUUGUUUUUUGUGCAGAGAAUGUACUAAAAAAAAAAUAAAGAGCGAGAGGAAGGAUAAUUUAAACUCCUCUGAAAGUUCUUUGGCUAAUGUCUUAGCUGUGCAGUCUAUCGUCCAUAAAAUUCUAAUAAAUUAUUGUCACUUAAAAGUUUUCUACCAUUUAAAAAUUAUACAAGUAAUAUAUGUUUGUUGAGAAAAUAUGAACAUAUGGUUCUUACAAUCUGAACAUCCAGAAAUAACCACUAAAAUGUUUGAAUAUACUCUUCAGGCCAUUUCUGUACAUACAUAUACCACAUGCCACAGUGUAAACAGUCUCUGGUGUCAGUUUUCUCAUCUCUAAAGUGUGGAGAAUAAUAAUACUUCUCCAGGGGAGUGUUGAUAGGAUUAAAUGAGAUCAUGUGUGUGAAGUGCUGAGCUCUCGUUAAUAGCUCAGUAAACGUUAAGUUUAGAAAUGGCGUUCUAUUGUUUCAUAAACUACCCCCAGUGUUUGGGGGCCAGUCAUAAAAUCGGUACAUGCCACUUUCAUCAUUCUCUUCUGGAGAGAACCUGGUCUCAAGACCACACACCUUCCUCCAAGGGAUGCCGGGACAUGCAGUGCAGCUGGGCAGGCACCCAGACUGAAACCAGGACCUCGGGGUGUGGGUGAGGGAUUUAGGUGGAAAGCUAAUCUCUGCCACAAUAGACUUUACCCCAUUUUUCUAUGAGAGUGUUCAUCUUUUGCUAUUCGAUGCAUGUGAGUUCUUUAUAAAUUAAUGAUAGGAAUUUUUGACACAUAUAUUGCAAAAUUUUUCUU